AACCUGGUUGAUCCUGCCAGUAGUCAUAUGCUUGUCUCAAAGAUUAAGCCAUGCAUGUCUAAGUAUAAACUGCUUUACACUGUGAAACUGCGAAUGGCUCAUUAAAUCAGUUAUAGUUUAUUUGAUGGUACUUACUUACUCGGAUACCCGUAGUAAUUCUAGAGCUAAUACGUGCGUACAUCCCGACUUCUGGAAGGGACGUAUUUAUUAGAUAAAAGGCCGACCGGGCUUGCCCGACUCGCGGUGACUCAUGAUAACUUCACGAAUCGCAUGGCCUCGUGCCGGCGAUGUUUCAUUCAAAUUUCUGCCCUAUCAACUUUUGAUGGUAGGAUAGAGGCCUACCAUGGUGGUAACGGGUGACGGAGAAUUAGGGUUCGAUUCCGGAGAGGGAGCCUGAGAAACGGCUACCACAUCCAAGGAAGGCAGCAGGCGCGCAAAUUACCCAAUCCUGAUACAGGGAGGUAGUGACAAUAAAUAACAAUACCGGGCCUUUGGUCUGGUAAUUGGAAUGAGUACAACCUAAACACCUUAACGAGGAUCAAUUGGAGGGCAAGUCUGGUG
RNAcentral lists this ribosomal RNA (561 nucleotides) under uncultured marine eukaryote. Its description in RNAcentral is "SSU rRNA". It matches the Rfam family "Eukaryotic small subunit ribosomal RNA", at positions 1 to 566 of the family's 1831-position model. The record is from RNAcentral.